GCUUGAAAGGGAGAAAAGACUAGAUGUUAUUCUAGAUCGCAACCUAAAUCGGAACUACGACAUCCAAGAAGUGGAGAUGAUGAUCCAAGUUGCAUUGCUCUGUACACAACCAUCACCAGGCGAUCGUCCAGCAAUGUCAGAGGUGGUUCGGAUGCUUGAAGGAGAGGGGCUGGCUGAGAGAUGGGAAGAAUGGCAGCAUGUGGAAGUUAGUCGUCGACAGGAGGCUGAGCGGCUGCAAAGAAGAUUUGACUGUAGGGAAGAUUCACUCUAUCACCAUGAUGCUAUUGAAUUGUCUGGUGGAAGAUGAGGAAAAAGAACCAUGCCUUGAAUAUUUUUGGAUGGAUUUCUGGUUCCAGCUUUUCUCCUUCGCUAAAUUUUAUUUGGAA
Molecule: long non-coding RNA, 386 nt
Organism: Vitis vinifera (wine grape)
Lineage: Eukaryota; Viridiplantae; Streptophyta; Magnoliopsida; Vitales; Vitaceae
Exons: 2
Source: RefSeq, a predicted model, not a curated record